GCUGUGUUUGCUGAACUGCUCAUGUUGGUGGACUGUGGCUUGGAUGUUCCUGGACCUCUAUGGGACUGUGCUUUGGUUUUGACUCUGGACUGGGUUUCCUGGACUUUGGAUGUGUGAAUUGACUCCUGGUCUUUGAACUUUGGACUUGACAUCCUGACUUGCGGCAAGAUUAUCGAUUUUAAGGCUGGUCUUUCACCUCUUCUUGGAUCCCUUUCUACUAUCCUGCUGAGGCCAUCCAGAUUCCUGAGCUCCUGCGUUUGGAACUGUUUCGGAAAUGGCAGCCAGCACACGCUCCCUUGUUCACACGACGCUCUUCCU
This 318-nucleotide long non-coding RNA is filed under the name Podarcis muralis (Common wall lizard). Its description in RNAcentral is "lncRNA (ENSPMRG00000021670.1)". The record is from RNAcentral. Lineage: Eukaryota; Metazoa; Chordata; Lepidosauria; Squamata; Lacertidae.